CCUACGGGAGGCAGCAGUGGGGAAUAUUGCACAAUGGGCGAAAGCCUGAUGCAGCAACGCCGCGUGAAGGAAGAAGGGUUUCGGCUCGUAAACUUCUAUCAACAGGGACGAAAGAAAUGACGGUACCUGAAUAAGAAGCCCCGGCUAACUACGUGCCAGCAGCCGCGGUACUACGUAGGGGGCAAGCGUUAUCCGGAAUUACUGGGUGUAAAGGGUGAGUAGGCGGCAUGGUAAGCCAGAUGUGAAAGCCUUGGGUUUAACCCGAGGAUUGCAUUUGGAAUUAUCAAGCGAGAGGACAGGAGAGGAAGGGGGAAUUCGUGGGGGAGCGGUAAAAUGUGUAGAGAUAGGGAAGAACACAGGUGGGGAGGGCGGUUGUCUGGACUGAAACUGACGUUGAGGCACGAAAGGGGGGGGAGCAAACAGGAUUAGAGACCUUAGGAGUC
This 443-nucleotide ribosomal RNA is filed under the name uncultured bacterium. RNAcentral's name for it is "partial 16S ribosomal RNA". It matches the Rfam family "Bacterial small subunit ribosomal RNA", at positions 338 to 795 of the family's 1533-position model. The record is from RNAcentral.